Molecule: long non-coding RNA, 2066 nt
Filed under: Homo sapiens (human)
Lineage: Eukaryota; Metazoa; Chordata; Mammalia; Primates; Hominidae
Description: HSALNT0363751
Source: RNAcentral
CAGAGAUCACAUGGUGAGAGAGGAAGUAAGAGAGAGAAGGGAGAUGCCAGGAUCUUUUUAACAAUCAGCUUUCUCAGGAAAGAACAGAGUGAGAACUCAGUCACUCUCACUCUCCAGGGAGGACAUUAAUCUAUUCAUGAGGGGUCUGCCCCCAUGACCCAAACACCCCCCAUUAGGCCCUACCUCCAACACUGAGGAUUAAAUUUCAACAUGAGAUUUGGAGGGGUCAAACAUACACACUAUAGCACUAAACUCUAAUUUGAAAGGGAAUACACUUUCAAGACUAAAAUACAUUUUCUUUUUUUUUUUUUUUUUUUUUUUUUUGAGAUGGAGUCUUGCUCUGUCGCCCAGGCUGGAGUGCAGUGGCGUGAUCUCAGCUCACUGGAAUCUCCACCUCCUGGGUUCACACCAUUCUCCUGCUUCAGCCUCCGAACAGCUGGGACUACAGGCACCCGCCACCAUGUCGGCUAAUUUUUUGUAUUUUUAGUAGAGAUGGGGUUUCACCAUGUUAGCCAGAAUGGACUCGAUCUCCUGACCUCGUGAUCCACUCGCCUCAGCCUCCCACAGUGCUGGGAUUACAGGCGUGAGCCACCGCGCCUGGCCUGACUAAAAUACAUUUUCAAGACUAAAAGCUAAGAACAAAGAUUUAGAGAUUUGAUACAGCAUUUGUAGAGAGGGCUUUUAGAGUGAUCUCAACCUGAUGUAACUGGCUGUGAAAUGUAAUUCUUCCAGGAUGAAAGGUGAAGAUCAGUAUGCAUACAUGUAUUUAUCUACAGUAUAUACACAUAAUACAUAGUAAAGAAUUAAGCUUCAGUAACCUGUAAAAUUUGCCUAAGUAGAAUACUGAUUUUGCAGAGAUAUGGGCUAAGUAAGAUACUAUCCUACACAUAAACACACGCAGAUGAUAGAAUGAAGUUAAAAACUGUUUCCAUUCUUCUUCUACACCUUAUAUAUUCAUGUCUAUAACAGCCCAUAACACACUGUUUACAUGUCUGACUUGCCCAACAGACUGUGAAGUCCUUAAGUCUAGCAGGGUGCUACAUUCAUUUAUUAUUCAGUAAAUAAAUGUUGAGCCAAACUGAAGUUACAGGAGAGAAGCAGAAAUCAUCAUGGAUUCACACAAGAGUGGGAGGGAUUUUUUUUUUUUUUUUUUUGAGAUGGAGUUUCACUCUUGUCGCCCAGGCUGGAGUACAAUGGCGUGAUCUCAGCUCACUGCAACCUCCACCUCCUGGGUUCAAGCAGUUCUCAUGACUCAGCCUCCCAAGUACCUGGGAUUAAAGGCACGUGCCACCACACCUGGCUAAUUUUUGUAUUUUUAGUAGAGACGGGGUUUCACCAUAUUGGCCAGGCUGGUCUUGAGCUCCUCCCCUCAGGUGAUCCACCCACCUCAACCUCCCGAAGUGCUGGGAUUACAGGUGUGAGCCACCACGACCAGGCCGGGAGGGCUUUCUAGAGAGUAUAGGAGCCUCAAAGAAAGAUAGGAGCUGGCUAGGAAGAAAAUAGGGAAAAGAAAACUCCAAGUCAAGGAGGAGCAUAUCAAGAAUAAAAGAAAGUCAGCCGGGCAUGGUGGCUCACACCUGUAAUCUCAGCACUUUGGGAGCCCAAGGUGGGUGGAUCACAAGGUCAGGAGUUCAAGACCAGCCUGGCCAACAUAGUGAAACCUCUUCUCUACUAAAAAUACAAAAAUUAGCCAGGUGUGGUGGCACGUGCCUGUAGUCCCAGCUAUGAUACUCAGGAGGCUGAAGCAGGAGAAUACCUUGAACCUGGCAAGCAGAGGUUGCAGUGAGCCGAGACCACGCCAUUGCACUCCAGCCUGGGUGACAGAGUGAGACUCCAUCUCAAAAAAAAAGAAUAUCACGCCUGUAAUCCCAGCACUUUGGGAGGCCGAGGCGGGCGGAUCACGAGGUCAGGAGAUCGAGACUAUCCUAGCCAAAAUGGUGAAACUCCAUCUCUACUAAAAAUACAAAAAUCUGCUGGGCAUGGUGGCACGUGCCUGUAAUCCCAGCUACUCAGGAGGCUGAGGCAAGAGAAUCGCUUGAACCAGGGAGUCGGAGGUUGCAGUGAGC